This 458-nucleotide ribosomal RNA is filed under the name Rothia dentocariosa. Its description in RNAcentral is "bacterial SSU rRNA". It matches the Rfam family "Bacterial small subunit ribosomal RNA", at positions 28 to 497 of the family's 1533-position model. The record is from RNAcentral. Lineage: Bacteria; Bacillati; Actinomycetota; Actinomycetes; Micrococcales; Micrococcaceae.
GACGAACGCUGGCGGCGUGCUUAACACAUGCAAGUCGAACGAUGAAGCCUAGCUUGCUAGGUGGAUUAGUGGCGAACGGGUGAGUAAUACGUGAGUGACCUACCUUUGACUCUGGGAUAAGCCUGGGAAACUGGGUCUAAUACCGGAUACGACCAAUCUCCGCAUGGGGUGUUGGUGGAAAGCGUUAUGGAGUGGUUUUAGAUGGGCUCACGGCCUAUCAGCUUGUUGGUGAGGUAAUGGCUUACCAAGGCGACGACGGGUAGCCGGCCUGAGAGGGUGACCGGCCACACUGGGACUGAGACACGGCCCAGACUCCUACGGGAGGCAGCAGUGGGGAAUAUUGCACAAUGGGCGCAAGCCUGAUGCAGCGACGCCGCGUGAGGGAUGACGGCCUUCGGGUUGUAAACCUCUGUUAGCAUCGAAGAAGCGAAAGUGACGGAGGGCAGAAAAGCGCCGCA